GACGAAGGUGGCAAGCGUUAUUCGGAUUUACUGGGCAUAAAGCGCGCGUAGGCGGCUUGGCAAGUCGGGGGUGAAAGCCCGCAGCUCAACUGCGGAACUGCCUUCGAUACUGCCGGGCUUGAAGGCGGGAGGGGUGAUUGGAACUCCAGGUGUAGCGGUGAAAUGCGUAGAUAUCUGGAGGAACACCGGUGGCGAAGGCGGCCUUCUGGACGGAUACUGACGCUGAGACGCGAAAGCGUGGGGAGCAAACAGG
RNAcentral lists this ribosomal RNA (253 nucleotides) under uncultured bacterium. RNAcentral describes it as "partial 16S ribosomal RNA". It matches the Rfam family "Bacterial small subunit ribosomal RNA", at positions 524 to 776 of the family's 1533-position model. The record is from RNAcentral.